Molecule: long non-coding RNA, 1046 nt
Organism: Nematostella vectensis (starlet sea anemone)
Lineage: Eukaryota; Metazoa; Cnidaria; Anthozoa; Actiniaria; Edwardsiidae
Exons: 3
Source: RefSeq, a predicted model, not a curated record
UGCCAUAAUGCAGAGCUCCAGACAGUCGCACUCAAAUAACGGAGAUAUCAUUCUCGAAAUGUAUGUAGAAAUCAUUACACAUUCCUGUAAAUGGUUAAUUGUUUGGCAUCUUUAUGGAAACAUUUAGCACGAAAAACGGUAUCCGGCAAUCGCUGAUUGGAGCGGAACUAUAUAUAAACAUUCUGUUUUCCUUCUGUUGGAAUUUGCUGGUCAAAGAAGAUAUCUCUAUUAUCCAGAAAGAGUGCGAUUUUUUGUGAUAACAAUCCACGUCCGCCAUUUUGAUCGUCAUAGCGCGCAGUGAAAUGCGCAUGCGCAACAGAAUAGUCCCUUUUUGCACGACUAAGGCAUGAGAAUAAAAAAAAUAAAUAAAUAAGAACUUCAAACAAAGCUUGGGAUAGAGUAAAAAUUUGAUCAUUGUUCAAUUUAAUUUGUUUAAUCAUAACCUUUUCAUAACUAGAUUCCUGUGUAUUUUCCUCUUGAGAAAGACAUGACGCAAUGCUUUUGCAUACUAAUAAGGGGAGUCCCCGCCAAUCUGACUUUCACUUUCGCUAGUAGAAUUUCCUGUUUGAGUGUUUAGCGGGGCUCACAUUUACUCAGUUCACUGGCUUUUGGACUUAUAGAGCCUGCACCGCCUAACUCAUCAAUAGCAGGCUUCAUCAUUUCUUUAUUGCAUUAGCUUCCGCCAAAACCAGCACAAGCGCGGGUUGGAAAUUCCAGAGGGGUGGGGGUUCAUACCUCAGAACCCCUCCUUGGGGGAGGGGGUAUGAAUAUUUUCUAGAACUACACAUUCAGCCUUCGCAUAGCCGUUUUCACCCGAUCGACUUGUACAAUAAGGACUUAAAUCAUCAAUCAGGAUUUGACACGAGUGGCAAAUAGAGAAUAGGAGCCAAGGCCAGCAACUCUCGAAUAAUCAACGCGUCAGAUAUCGCAUACAAGAUCAAAUCUAACUUUAGACGAUCAUGCUGAUCAUGAAGUCGGGCCAGCUCCAUGAAAGUGGAAUAAAAAUGCGUAAUAAACAUUUUAUGAAAUAAAAGAUUGUAAGGAAA